This 451-nucleotide ribosomal RNA is filed under the name uncultured bacterium. RNAcentral describes it as "partial 16S ribosomal RNA". It matches the Rfam family "Bacterial small subunit ribosomal RNA", at positions 29 to 523 of the family's 1533-position model. The record is from RNAcentral.
AGCGAACGCUGGCGGCAGGCUUAACACAUGCAAGUCGAGCGGCCGUAGCAAUACGGCAGCGGCAGACGGGAGAGUAACACGUGGGAACGUACCCUUCAGUACGGAACAACCAAGGGAAACUUUGGCUAAUACCGCAUACGUCCGUCAGGAGAAAGAUUUAUCGCUGAAGGAUCGGCCCGCGUCUGAUUAGCUAGUUGGUGAGGUAACGGCUCACCAAGGCGACGAUCAGUAGCUGGUCUGAGAGGAUGAUCAGCCUCACUGGGACUGAGACACGGCCCAGACUCCUACGGGAGGCAGCAGUGGGGAAUAUUGGACAAUGGGCGCAAGCCUGAUCCAGCCAUGCCGCGUGGAUGAUGAAGGCCCUAGGGUUGUAAAGUCCUUUUAACGGGGAAGAUAAUGACGGUACCCGUAGAAUAAGCCCCGGCUAACUUCGUGCCAGCCGCCGCCGUAA